This 329-nucleotide ribosomal RNA is filed under the name uncultured eukaryote. RNAcentral describes it as "partial 18S ribosomal RNA". It matches the Rfam family "Eukaryotic small subunit ribosomal RNA", at positions 1470 to 1796 of the family's 1831-position model. The record is from RNAcentral.
CCCUUAGAUGUCCUGGGCCGCACGCGCGCUACACUGAGUGUCUGAGAUACGAGUCUGCCUGGUCCGGCAAGGUCUAGGUAAUCGCUAAAAGACACAUCAUGCUUGGGAUAGAUUAUUGCAAAUAUUAAUCUUGAACGAGGAAUUCCUAGUAAGCGCAAGUCAGCAGCUUGCGUUGAUUACGUCCCUGCCCUUUGUACACACCGCCCGUCGCUACUACUGAUUGGAUGUUUAAGCGAGGUUCUCGAACUGCUAGCGACUUAGCUUCGGUGAGGUCGCAGUGUGGGAAGUGAACCUAGCUUUGGUGUCUAGAGGAAGUAAAAGUCGUAACA